RNAcentral lists this small nucleolar RNA (156 nucleotides) under Pogona vitticeps (central bearded dragon). Lineage: Eukaryota; Metazoa; Chordata; Lepidosauria; Squamata; Agamidae. The record is from RNAcentral.
AUUACACUUUCUGUAAAAGCUCAGAGGUGAGACCAAUUUGGUGAAUGAACUCUUGAGUGUUGCAGGUGUGCUACAAUAAAUGCAGGCAGGAUUAUUGUUAACACCGGCAGAGUUCUGCUCCCUGACUGGAGUUUGAUAGUAGUCAUUGCCACAUGC